This 1386-nucleotide ribosomal RNA is filed under the name uncultured bacterium. Its description in RNAcentral is "bacterial SSU rRNA". It matches the Rfam family "Bacterial small subunit ribosomal RNA". The record is from RNAcentral.
CCUUAGAGUUUGAUCCUGGCUCAGGAUGAACGCUGGCGGCGUGCUUAACACAUGCAAGUCGAGCGAAGCGGCUGAAUUGAUUCUUCGGAUGAUUUUCAGUUGACUGAGCGGCGGACGGGUGAGUAACGCGUGGGUGACCUGCCCCAUACCGGGGGAUAACAGCUGGAAACGGCUGCUAAUACCGCAUAAGCGCACAGAGCUGCAUGGCUCGGUGUGAAAAACUCCGGUGGUAUGGGAUGGGCCCGCGUCUGAUUAGGCAGUUGGCGGGGUAACGGCCCACCAAACCGACGAUCAGUAGCCGGCCUGAGAGGGCGACCGGCCACAUUGGGACUGAGACACGGCCCAAACUCCUACGGGAGGCAGCAGUGGGGAAUAUUGCACAAUGGGGGAAACCCUGAUGCAGCGACGCCGCGUGAGCGAAGAAGUAUUUCGGUAUGUAAAGCUCUAUCAGCAGGGAAGAUAAUGACGGUACCUGACUAAGAAGCCCCGGCUAACUACGUGCCAGCAGCCGCGGUAAUACGUAGGGGGCAAGCGUUAUCCGGAUUUACUGGGUGUAAAGGGAGCGCAGGCGGGAAGACAAGUUGGAAGUGAAAUCCAUGGGCUCAACCCAUGAACUGCUUUCAAAACUGUUUUUCUUGAGUAGUGCAGAGGUAGGCGGAAUUCCCGGUGUAGCGGUGGAAUGCGUAGAUAUCGGGAGGAACACCAGUGGCGAAGGCGGCCUACUGGGCACCCAACUGACGCUGAGGCUCGAAAGUGUGGGUAGCAAACAGGAUUAGAUACCCUGGUAGUCCACACUGUAAACGAUGAUUACUAGGUGUUGGAGGAUUGACCCCUUCAGUGCCGCAGUUAACACAAUAAGUAAUCCACCUGGGGAGUACGACCGCAAGGUUGAAACUCAAAGGAAUUGACGGGGGCCCGCACAAGCAGUGGAGUAUGUGGUUUAAUUCGACGCAACGCGAAGAACCUUACCAAGUCUUGACAUCCUGCGACGGACAUAGAAAUAUGUUUUUCCUUCGGGACGCAGAGACAGGUGGUGCAUGGUUGUCGUCAGCUCGUGUCGUGAGAUGUUGGGUUAAGUCCCGCAACGAGCGCAACCCUUAUGGUCAGUUACUACGCAAGAGGACUCUGGCCAGACUGCCGUUGACAAAACGGAGGAAGGUGGGGAUGACGUCAAAUCAUCAUGCCCUUUAUGACUUGGGCUACACACGUACUACAAUGGCGUUAAACAAAGAGAAGCAAGACCGCGAGGUGGAGCAAAACUCAGAAACAACGUCCCAGUUCGGACUGCAGGCUGCAACCAGCCUACAUGAAGUCGGAAUUGCUAGUAAUCGCAGAUCAACAUGCUGCGGUGAAUACGUUCCCGGGCCUUGCACACGCCGCCCGUCA